Molecule: ribosomal RNA, 1510 nt
Filed under: Helicobacter pylori
Lineage: Bacteria; Pseudomonadati; Campylobacterota; Epsilonproteobacteria; Campylobacterales; Helicobacteraceae
Description: bacterial SSU rRNA
Rfam family: Bacterial small subunit ribosomal RNA
Source: RNAcentral
UUUUAUGGAGAGUUUGAUCCUGGCUCAGAGUGAACGCUGGCGGCGUGCCUAAUACAUGCAAGUCGAACGAUGAAGCUUCUAGCUUGCUAGAAUGCUGAUUAGUGGCGCACGGGUGAGUAACGCAUAGGUCAUGUGCCUCUUAGUUUGGGAUAGCCAUUGGAAACGGUGAUUAAUACCAGAUACUCCCUACGGGGGAAAGAUUUAUCGCUAAGAGAUCAGCCUAUGUCCUAUCAGCUUGUUGGUAAGGUAAUGGCUUACCAAGGCUAUGACGGGUAUCCGGCCUGAGAGGGUGAACGGACACACUGGAACUGAGACACGGUCCAGACUCCUACGGGAGGCAGCAGUAGGGAAUAUUGCUCAAUGGGGGAAACCCUGAAGCAGCAACGCCGCGUGGAGGAUGAAGGUUUUAGGAUUGUAAACUCCUUUUGUUAGAGAAGAUAAUGACGGUAUCUAACGAAUAAGCACCGGCUAACUCCGUGCCAGCAGCCGCGGUAAUACGGAGGGUGCAAGCGUUACUCGGAAUCACUGGGCGUAAAGAGCGCGUAGGCGGGAUAGUCAGUCAGGUGUGAAAUCCUAUGGCUUAACCAUAGAACUGCAUUUGAAACUACUAUUCUAGAGUGUGGGAGAGGUAGGUGGAAUUCUUGGUGUAGGGGUAAAAUCCGUAGAGAUCAAGAGGAAUACUCAUUGCGAAGGCGACCUGCUGGAACAUUACUGACGCUGAUUGCGCGAAAGCGUGGGGAGCAAACAGGAUUAGAUACCCUGGUAGUCCACGCCCUAAACGAUGGAUGCUAGUUGUUGGAGGGCUUAGUCUCUCCAGUAAUGCAGCUAACGCAUUAAGCAUCCCGCCUGGGGAGUACGGUCGCAAGAUUAAAACUCAAAGGAAUAGACGGGGACCCGCACAAGCGGUGGAGCAUGUGGUUUAAUUCGAAGAUACACGAAGAACCUUACCUAGGCUUGACAUUGAGAGAAUCUGCUAGAAAUAGUGGAGUGUCUGGCUUGCCAGACCUUGAAAACAGGUGCUGCACGGCUGUCGUCAGCUCGUGUCGUGAGAUGUUGGGUUAAGUCCCGCAACGAGCGCAACCCCCUUUCUUAGUUGCUAACAGGUUAUGCUGAGAACUCUAAGGAUACUGCCUCCGUAAGGAGGAGGAAGGUGGGGACGACGUCAAGUCAUCAUGGCCCUUACGCCUAGGGCUACACACGUGCUACAAUGGGGUGCACAAAGAGAAGCAAUACUGCGAAGUGGAGCCAAUCUUCAAAACACCUCUCAGUUCGGAUUGUAGGCUGCAACUCGCCUGCAUGAAGCUGGAAUCGCUAGUAAUCGCAAAUCAGCCAUGUUGCGGUGAAUACGUUCCCGGGUCUUGUACUCACCGCCCGUCACACCAUGGGAGUUGUGUUUGCCUUAAGUCAGGAUGCUAAACUAGCUACUGCCCACGGCACACACAGCGACUGGGGUGAAGUCGUAACAAGGUAACCGUAGGUGAACCUGCGGUUGGAUCACCUCCUUUCUAGA